Molecule: long non-coding RNA, 342 nt
Organism: Epinephelus moara (kelp grouper)
Lineage: Eukaryota; Metazoa; Chordata; Actinopteri; Perciformes; Serranidae
Exons: 3
Source: RefSeq, a predicted model, not a curated record
UGGCUCAUUGCGUACACCACGGGAGGAAGGAGAGAACUGCUCUGGGUCCACUGAGUAAUAAUUCACAUAUUCAGAGCAAGCUGCACAAUGGCUCCCUUACUGCUGUUACUACUGCUGCCCGGAUCGCUGGCCUGCCAUGUUCAUCUCAGCAUUUCAGAUGGUAACAUUUACUUUACCAUUAACACCAACCACACUGUAAUUACUGACAAUCGGCCUGAUACUGUGAUAUGCUUGGAGGAUGGAUUUCCCUGCCACAUUGAAUGCACGCUCAGCAACUUGACCGUAUGGCGCAAUAAAUCAUUUGGUUGCUUCAAGGCUGAAGAGACACGAGAUCCCAACAUG